This 613-nucleotide ribosomal RNA is filed under the name Sarcocystis gigantea. RNAcentral describes it as "SSU rRNA". It matches the Rfam family "Eukaryotic small subunit ribosomal RNA", at positions 335 to 896 of the family's 1831-position model. Lineage: Eukaryota; Apicomplexa; Conoidasida; Eucoccidiorida; Sarcocystidae. The record is from RNAcentral.
AUUGGACUACCGUGGCAGUGACGGGUAACGGGGAAUAAGGGUUCGAUUCCGGAGAGGGAGCCUGAGAAACGGCUACCACAUCUAAGGAAGGCAGCAGGCGCGCAAAUUACCCAAUCCUGACUCAGGGAGGUAGUGACAAGAAAUAACAACACUGGAAAUUGUAUUUCUAGUGAUUGGAAUGAUGGGAAUCCAAACCCCUUUCAGAGUAACAAUUGGAGGGCAAGUCUGGUGCCAGCAGCCGCGGUAAUUCCAGCUCCAAUAGCGUAUAUUAAAGUUGUUGCAGUUAAAAAGCUCGUAGUUGGAUAUCUGCUGGAAGCAAUCAGUCCGCCCUUUUCAUAAGGGUGUGCACUUGAUGAAUUCUGGCAUGAUUUCAUCCUGAUAAUGAUAAUAAUAUGUUGUUAUGAUAUUAGGUUGAUUCCUAGUAUAAUAAUAACAUUAUUAUUGUUAUGGGGAUGACAGUUACUUUGAGAAAAUUAGAGUGUUUGAAGCAGGCUUUUGUUGCCUUGAAUACUGCAGCAUGGAAUAACAAUAUAGGAUUUCGGUUCUAUUGUUAUGUUGGUUUUUUCUGUAGGACUGAAAUAAUGAUUAAUAGGGACAGAUGGGGGCAUUCGUA